This 426-nucleotide ribosomal RNA is filed under the name uncultured bacterium. RNAcentral describes it as "bacterial SSU rRNA". It matches the Rfam family "Bacterial small subunit ribosomal RNA", at positions 917 to 1344 of the family's 1533-position model. The record is from RNAcentral.
GGGCCCGCACAAGCGGUGGAGCAUGUGGUUUAAUUCGAUGAUACGCGAGGAACCUUACCAGGGCUUAAAUGUAGUAUGACCGGUCUAGAAAUAGGCCUUCCCUUCGGGGCAGAUUACAAGGUGCUGCAUGGUUGUCGUCAGCUCGUGCCGUGAGGUGUUAGGUUAAGUCCUAUAACGAGCGCAACCCCUACCGUUAGUUGCCAGCGAUUCAAGUCGGGGACUCUAACGGGACUGCCGGUGCAAACCGUGAGGAAGGUGGGGACGACGUCAAAUCAUCACGGCCCUUACGUCCUGGGUUACACACGUGCUACAAUGGUCGGUACAGAGGGCAGCUACCACGUGAGUGGAUGCAAAUCUCGAAAGCCGAUCUCAGUUCGGAUUGAAGUCUGCAACUCGACUUCAUGAAGCUGGAAUCGCUAGUAAUCG